RNAcentral lists this ribosomal RNA (253 nucleotides) under uncultured bacterium. RNAcentral's name for it is "partial 16S ribosomal RNA". It matches the Rfam family "Bacterial small subunit ribosomal RNA", at positions 524 to 776 of the family's 1533-position model. The record is from RNAcentral.
UACGUAGGGUGCGAGCGUUAAUCGGAAUUACUGGGCGUAAAGCGUGCGCAGGCGGUUCUCCAAGUCCGUUGUGAAAGCCCCGGGCUCAACCUGGGAAUGGCAGUGGAAACUAGGGGACUGGAAUCUGGCAGAGGGGGGUGGAAUGCCGCGUGUAGCAGUGAAAUGCGUAGAGAUGCGGCGGAACACCGAUGGCGAAGGCAGCCCCCUGGGCUGAGAUUGACGCUCAGGCACGAAAGCGUGGGGAUCAAACAGG